Oncorhynchus keta (chum salmon) is the source of this 1430-nucleotide long non-coding RNA. RefSeq lists it as uncharacterized. Lineage: Eukaryota; Metazoa; Chordata; Actinopteri; Salmoniformes; Salmonidae. The record is from RefSeq and is a predicted model, not a curated record. The transcript is spliced from 5 exons.
CCUGUGUAGACGGUUGAUAGAUUGGUACGUGAUGCCUCUCCCUCAGUAGUUUCCCUGUGUAGAAGGUUGAUAGAUUGGUACGUGAUGCCUCUCCCUCAGUAGUUUCCCUGUGUAGACGGUUGAUAGAUUGGUACGUGAUGCCUCUCCCUCAGUAGUUUGCCUGUGUAGACGGUUGAUAGAUUGGUACGUGAUGCCUCUCCCUCAGUAGUUUCCCUGUGUAGACGGUUGAUAGAUUGGUACGUGAUGCCUCUCCCUCAGUAGUUUCCCUGUGUAGACGGUUGAUAGAUUGGUACGUGAUGCCUCUCCCUCAGUAGUUUGCCUGUGUAGACGGUUGAUAGAUUGGUACGUGAUGCCUCUCCCUCAGUAGUUUCCCUGUGUAGAAGGUUGAUAGAUUGGUACGUGAUGCCUCUCCCUCAGUAGUUUCCCUGUGUAGAAGGUUGAUAGAUUGGUACGUGAUGCCUCUCCCUCAGUAGUUUCCCUGUGUAGACGGUUGAUAGAUUGGUACGUGAUGCCUCUCCCUCAGUAGUUUCCCUGUGUAGAAGGUUGAUAGAUUGGUACGUGAUGCCUCUCCCUCAGUAGUUUCCCUGUGUAGACGGUUGAUAGAUUGGUACGUGAUGCCUCUCCCUCAGUAGUUUGCCUGUGUAGAAGGUUGAUAGAUUGGUACGUGAUGCCUCUCCCUCAGUAGUUUGCCUGUGUAGACGUUUGAUAGAUUGGUACGUGAUGCCUCUCCCUCAGUAGUUUGCCUGUGUAGACAGUUGAUAGAUUGGUACGUGAUGCCUCUCCCUCAGUAGUUUGCCUGUGUAGACGGUUGAUAGAUUGGUACGUGAUGCCUCUCCCUCAGUAGUUUCCCUGUGUAGAAGGUUGAUAGAUUAGUACGUGAUGCCUCUACCUCAGUAGUUUCCCUGUGUAGACGGUUGAUAGAUUGGUACGUGAUGCCUCUCCCUCAGUAGUUUCCCUGUGUAGAAGGUUGAUAGAUUAGUACGUGAUGCCUCUCCCUCAGUAGUUUGCCUGUGUAGACGGUUGAUAGAUUGGUACGUGAUGCCUCUCCCUCAGUAGUUUGCCUGUGUAGAAGGUUGAUAGAUUAGUACGUGAUGCCUCUCCCUCAGCAGUUUGCCUGUGUAGACGGUUGAUAGAUUGGUACGUGAUGCCUCUCCCUCAGUAGUUUGCCUGUGUAGACGGUUGAUAGAUUGGUACGUGAUGCCUCUCCCUCAGUAGUUUGCCUGUGUAGACGGUUGAUAGAUUGGUACGUGAGGCCUCUCCCUCAGUAGUUUCCCUGUGUAGACGGUUGAUAGAUUGGUACGUGAUGCCUCUCCCUCAGUAGUUUGCCUGUGUAGACGGUUGAUAGAUUGGUACGUGAUGCCCCUCCCUCAGUAGUUUCCCUGUGUAGACGGUUGAUAGAUUGGUACGUGAUGCCUCUCCCUCAGUAGUUU